Molecule: ribosomal RNA, 412 nt
Filed under: uncultured microorganism
Description: bacterial SSU rRNA
Rfam family: Archaeal small subunit ribosomal RNA
Source: RNAcentral
GCGCAGCAGUCGAGAAAACUUCACAAUGUGCGAAAGCACGAUGAGGGAAUCCCAAGUGCUUGCACGUAAGUGUAAGCUGUUUCUCUGUCUAAAACGCAGAGAGAGUAAGGGCUGGGUAAGACGGGUGCCAGCCGCCGCGGUAAUACCUGCAGCUCGAGUGGUGACCGUUAUUAUUGGGCCUAAAACGUCCGUAGCCGGUUUAAUAAAUGCCUGGGUAAAUCGGACCGCUUAACGGUUCGAAUUCCGGGUAGACUGUUAAACUUGAGACCGGGAGAAGUUAGAGGUACUCCUGGGGUAGAGGUGAAAUUCUGUAAUCCUAGGGGGACCACCAGUGGCGAAGGCGUCUAACUAGAACGGGUCUGACGGUGAGGGACGAAGCCCUGGGGCGCAAACGGGAUUAGAUACCCCCGUA